Ictalurus punctatus (channel catfish) is the source of this 1130-nucleotide long non-coding RNA. The record is from Ensembl. NCBI's taxonomy places the organism in Eukaryota, Metazoa, Chordata, Actinopteri, Siluriformes, Ictaluridae.
CCUGCUGUGACUCCACCCCCAUGUAGAACUGUAGCCGGCAUGCUGAGCUGAGAAAGCAGUCUUUUGAAGUUCUCACGCUGUUGCUCAGAGCGAUGGUCGUGUGUUGAUUAUUUUUUUUCUGACGGCUCUUUCUUCUUCACCCCGUGCCCUCGUGAAGGCUGAAACGAAAGCAGGACUGAGCUCUUCUCAACAUCUUUCUCGCUCUACAUGAUCUUGACAUGCACUCAAAGCCCUGAGCGUUUUUUUUUUUUCUUUCCCUUUGCCGUUUUUGAUCCUCUACCACUUCACUUGUCUUAACCUCAGCCAUCAUUGUCUGUAAUCAGUGGAGGUGAAGGGAAUCUGCAAGGGAUAUCGGUGCGAUUCGUACCCUCGGCUUCACUCGGAAGCUCACGGGUCGUGGCUUGAUGAAAUGACACAAAGAAGAAGAUGAUGAUGAUGAUGAAACAUUAUAGAGAAGCUUUGGAGGGAAAUAAACAUGAGCUGUAGCAUUUUAUGAAGCCUCAACCGUAAUGUUAACGGAAUCUCUCUUGGAUUUAAAAUGGAGAAAAUCUGCAUAUACUGUCCAAUAGUGCAAAAGUUUGUACACCCCAUGCUUCGUGAGUGAGAAAGAAACAUGCAAAUUGAUCUGAUAUUCGAAUACAUUUGAUAUUUAUAUUUUAAAUAAUAUAGCUCAUAUAUAUUUGAGGGUAUUCUAAUACAAAUCUAAGACAAUUCCGCCUGUUUUUCCAACCAUUUCUCGCGCUCGGAAUUGUGUUCAUCAAUUAGAAUGUAUCUUUAAUACCUUCCAGAAAGAAAGCAAACACUUGAAAUAGGGAAAUUAUUUGCCAAUAUAUUAAGAGAAUUUCACGAAAAGCACACAGGAGAUAAUUAAUGUACUUAUUGGGUCUCACUGAUUAAUGUUUUACGAAAGUGUGCCAAUUUAUUCUUAGGCCAAACUGCAGAAAAAAAAACAAAACAAAUCCUGCCAUAGUUAUAAAAGUUUAGCUGAUUUUAUUCAUAUUCUCACGCACAUGUUUAUAAACACCAAUCAGCCAUGUAUUACCGAGCCGAUGUAAAUCUAGCCACACCUAUAAAACUCCAUAAAAGGCAACGCUCACAGACAGCUGAAGAAGAUGAAAUGGUGACUAAAU